RNAcentral lists this ribosomal RNA (496 nucleotides) under uncultured bacterium. RNAcentral's name for it is "partial 16S ribosomal RNA". It matches the Rfam family "Bacterial small subunit ribosomal RNA", at positions 29 to 507 of the family's 1533-position model. The record is from RNAcentral.
ACGCACGCUGGCGGCGUGCCUCAUCCAUGCCAUUUGAGCGCUGAAGGUUGGUACUUGUACCGACUGGAUGAGCAGCGAACGGGUGAGUAACGCGUGGGGAAUCUGCCUUUGAGCGGGGGACAACAUUUGGAAACGAAUGCUAAUACCGCAUAAAAACUUUAAACACAAGUUUUAAGUUUGAAAGAUGCAAUUGCAUCACUCAAAGAUGAUCCCGCGUUGUAUUAGCUAGUUGGUGAGGUAAAGGCUCACCAAGGCGAUGAUACAUAGCCGACCUGAGAGGGUGAUCGGCAACAUUGGGACUGAGACACGGCCCAAACUCCUACGGGAGGCAGCAGUAGGGAAUCUUCGGCAAUGGACGAAAGUCUGACCGAGCAACGCCGCGUGAGUGAAGAAGGUUGUCGGAUCGUAAAACUCUGUUGGUAGAGAAGAACGUUGGUGAGGGUGGAAAGCUCAUCAAGUGACGGUAACUACCCAGAAAGGGACGGCUAACUACGUG